CAUUCCUUUUAAGUUAGUCCGGUGAGACUAAUAAAGGAGAAAAUGGAAAAUUUACUCCGCACCUUUUUAUCUAAGAGGAAAUUAUAUAGCCCUUGGUUUCAUAAUUGUGGAAUCAAGGGCUAUUUUUUUA
Non-coding RNA from Candidatus Omnitrophica bacterium 4484_213, 130 nucleotides. Lineage: Bacteria; Pseudomonadati; Candidatus Omnitrophota. The record is from Rfam.